AUGCCAUCCACGGACGUUUCUUCUAUCACUGAGCUUUUUGUAGAGACCAUCGAUAAGGCGUUGGCGAGGGCCAUCGAAGGCUUAAAUGAUUCCACUAUUGCAGAUCCUCAGCGCGAUGACAUUCUUCAAGCAGUCUAUUUGAUGCUGCCGACCGGGGAUACUGUUCCUCGAAUUGCCACUGUUCGCACUGACUUGCAAAAACUCAUUUCUUUUUCAAGUGAAAUGCAAGGAGCCCGCAAAGGAAUUGCUGAUCAUUCUCAGAAACAGGCUGAAGCUGUUAAUGCAGCGGAGACGGAAAGUGGAUUGUUGGGAGACACUUUGAAAGCUACGUCAAAGAAAAUGUCAGCCUUGAAGAAGCAGCGUGAAGAAGAGGAGAAUGUCGUGGAAGACCUUGGUGCGAAGCUGAAGGCAGCUACCUCCACGUUGUAG
RNAcentral lists this ribosomal RNA (429 nucleotides) under Triticum aestivum (bread wheat). RNAcentral's name for it is "partial small subunit ribosomal RNA". The record is from RNAcentral. Lineage: Eukaryota; Viridiplantae; Streptophyta; Magnoliopsida; Poales; Poaceae.